This 465-nucleotide ribosomal RNA is filed under the name uncultured bacterium. RNAcentral's name for it is "partial 16S ribosomal RNA". It matches the Rfam family "Bacterial small subunit ribosomal RNA", at positions 28 to 507 of the family's 1533-position model. The record is from RNAcentral.
GACGAACGCUGGCGGCGUGCUUAACACAUGCAAGUCGAACGGAAAGGCCCCUUUGGGGGUACUCGAGUGGCGAACGGGUGCGUAACACGUGAGUAACCUGCCCUUGACUUCGGGAUAACUUCAGGAAACUGGGGCUAAUACCGGAUAGGAAUCCUUGCUGCAUGGUGGGGGUUGGAAAGCUUCGGCGGUUUUGGAUGGACUCGCGGCUUAUCAGCUUGUUGGUGGGGUAGUGGCUUACCAAGGCUUUGACGGGUAGCCGGCCUGAGAGGGCGACCGGCCACAUUGGGACUGAGAUACGGCCCAGACUCCUACGGGAGGCAGCAGUGGGGAAGAUUGCACAAUGGGCGGAAGCCUGAUGCAGAAACGCCGCGGGCGGGAGGACGGCCUUCGGGUUGUAAACCGCUUUCAGCAGGGGCGAAGCUUGUGGUGACGGUACCUGCAGAAGAAGCACCGGCUAACUACGUG